This 253-nucleotide ribosomal RNA is filed under the name uncultured bacterium. RNAcentral describes it as "partial 16S ribosomal RNA". It matches the Rfam family "Bacterial small subunit ribosomal RNA", at positions 524 to 776 of the family's 1533-position model. The record is from RNAcentral.
UACGUAGGGUGCAAGCGUUGUCCGGAAUUAUUGGGCGUAAAGAGCGUGUAGGCGGCCCCGUUAGUCCGCUGUGAAAGUCCAGGGCUCAACCCUGGAAUGCCGGUGGAAACUGUCGAGCUAGAGUCCGGAAGAGGCGAGUGGAAUUCCUGGUGUAGCGGUGAAAUGCGCAGAUAUCAGGAGGAACACCAAUGGCGAAGGCAGCUCGCUGGGACGGUACUGACGCUGAGACGCGAAAGCGUGGGGAGCAAACAGG